AUGCAUGAGCUCAAGUAUGAGGUUUGUCGGUCAAAAAGGGCUCACGAUGAUGCUGAGUGGGGCAACGAAGACGCAGACGGAGAAGCCGACGCAGAUCCAGCCGAGUGUGACGACGCGUGUCUCGCCAUGGAAGGCGAAGAGGGUGAGGAGGAAGAUGAGCCCGAAGCCGGCGAUGUUGAGGAGGACGACGAUCUUGGCUGUGAAAAUCUUGGCCUUCCUGGGGGCGUAGACGAGGUACAUGACGAUGUAGACGGUCUCGAUGACGCAGCCGGCAGCGUUGAUGCUGAUGAGGAGGCCCUCACCGGUCUUGACCAGUGCGUAGAAGAUCCACAGCAUCGCGCUGAACAGGGCCACGACGUAGGGCACCGACUGGAACCCCUCCGUGGAUUUGCUCUUGAAGAUCCGGUAGAAUGUUGGUCUAAUAUUUUAUUUUUGUGA
RNAcentral lists this ribosomal RNA (438 nucleotides) under Triticum aestivum (bread wheat). RNAcentral describes it as "partial small subunit ribosomal RNA". Lineage: Eukaryota; Viridiplantae; Streptophyta; Magnoliopsida; Poales; Poaceae. The record is from RNAcentral.